This is a non-coding RNA of Salmo salar (Atlantic salmon), 55 nucleotides long. The record is from Rfam. NCBI's taxonomy places the organism in Eukaryota, Metazoa, Chordata, Actinopteri, Salmoniformes, Salmonidae.
AAUGCACCAAUUUGUAAGUCGCUCUGCCAUAAGAGCGUCUGCUAAAUGACGUAAA